Molecule: ribosomal RNA, 588 nt
Filed under: uncultured bacterium
Lineage: Bacteria
Description: bacterial SSU rRNA
Rfam family: Bacterial small subunit ribosomal RNA
Source: RNAcentral
CCUACGGGAGGCAGCAGUGGGGAAUUUUGGACAAUGGGGGAAACCCUGAUCCAGCCAUUCCGCGUGAGUGAAGAAGGCCUUCGGGCUGUAAAGCUCUUUCAGGAGGGAAGAAACGGUUACGGAUAAUACCUGUGACUAAUGACGGUACCUUCAGAAGAGGCACCGGCUAACUACGUGCCAGCAGCCGCGGUAAUACGUAGGGUGCGAGCGUUAAUCGGAAUUACUGGGCGUAAAGCGUGCGCAGGCGGUUUUGUAAGUCAGAUGUGAAAGCCCCGGGCUCAACCUGGGAACUGCGUUUGAAACUACAAGGCUAGAGUGUAGCAGAGGGGGGUAGAAUUCCACGUGUAGCAGUGAAAUGCGUAGAGAUGUGGAGGAAUACCGAUGGCGAAGGCAGCCCCCUGGGUUAACACUGACGCUCAUGUACGAAAGCGUGGGGAGCAAACAGGAUUAGAUACCCUGGUAGUCCACGCCCUAAACGAUGUCAACUAGUUGUCGGGAGAGGAGACUUUCUUGGUAACGCAGCUAACGCGUGAAGUUGACCGCCUGGGGAGUACGGUCGCAAGAUUAAAACUUAAAAGGAAUUGACGG